GACAUAGGAUGCAAGCAUUAUCCGGAAUGAUUGGGCGUAAAGCGUCUGUAGGUGGCUUUUCAAGUCUGUCAUCAAAUCCCAGGGAUCAACCCUGGACAGGCGGUGGAAACUACCAAGCUAGAGUACGGUAGGGGCAGAGGGAAUUUCCGGUGGAGCGGUGAAAUGCGUAGAGAUCGGAAAGAACGCCAACGGCGAAAGCACUCUGCUGGGCCGACACUGACACUGAGAGACGAAAGCUAGGGGAGCGAAUGGG
RNAcentral lists this ribosomal RNA (253 nucleotides) under uncultured bacterium. Its description in RNAcentral is "partial 16S ribosomal RNA". It matches the Rfam family "Bacterial small subunit ribosomal RNA", at positions 524 to 776 of the family's 1533-position model. The record is from RNAcentral.